CACUAUGUAGCUUAAAUAAAAGCCUUAGCCUCUUAAGCUGUAAGAUACAGACCUGUUAUAGUGA
RNAcentral lists this transfer RNA (64 nucleotides) under Blattisocius keegani. Its description in RNAcentral is "tRNA-Lys". It matches the Rfam family "tRNA". Rfam says of the family: Transfer RNA (tRNA) molecules are approximately 80 nucleotides in length. Their secondary structure includes four short double-helical elements and three loops (D, anti-codon, and T loops). Lineage: Eukaryota; Metazoa; Arthropoda; Arachnida; Mesostigmata; Blattisociidae. The record is from RNAcentral.